AGAUAUCUGAUACUACAAUGGUGUUUACAACUAAUUGAUCACAAACAGUUACAGAUUCCUUUGUUCCUUCUCCACUCCCACUGCUUCACUUGACUAGCCUUUA
This 103-nucleotide Y RNA is filed under the name Propithecus coquereli (Coquerel's sifaka). RNAcentral's name for it is "Y RNA (ENSPCOG00000003653.1)". It matches the Rfam family "Y RNA", at positions 24 to 96 of the family's 96-position model. From Rfam's summary of the family: Y RNAs are components of the Ro ribonucleoprotein particle (Ro RNP), in association with Ro60 and La proteins. The Y RNAs and Ro60 and La proteins are well conserved, but the function of the Ro RNP is not known. In humans the RNA component can be one of four small RNAs -- hY1, hY3, hY4 and hY5. The record is from Rfam by way of RNAcentral. Lineage: Eukaryota; Metazoa; Chordata; Mammalia; Primates; Indriidae.